AAGACUUCAGUUAUUUAGAGCUCCACCCAGCACCCAUGGCAGGGGCUGAGGGGCCGACUGUGACGAACUGGACCUCAUCACGAGUUCUUGGAGGGGCAUACUUGCCAGCCGCUUGCUCUGUGACUAUGGCCCCUGUGUUAAAUCCUGGUUAAAACCACUGUGUGUGCCUUUUUGUACUUGUAUGGCCACAAUUCGAACUUUCGAAAUGGCACUUCGAACUCUCGAACUUCCAAAGCCAUUUGAAGUGCUAUUCGACCAUGAGGUGGCAGCCAUCUUUUUCAUAUGGACCAAAACUGCAAAUAGACUUCAGGGGAACUUAGUCACGCAUGCUCUGGAAUUAUUUUCGGUAUGAAAACCUCACGAUUGCCGGUCGGUCCUCCAGCGGCACUUGACUGCGAUUCUAUGGAGCUAUUUUCGGCUUUGGGACCAUGCCUGCGGUCGGUAAAAUAUAUGACUUCCAUAAAAUUUCUGAACUCAUGAACUGAUCUGGGUGAUUUUUGGAUAUGUUGGUCACCCAGAUCAGGGCUAUCAAAAUAUUACAAUAUUUCUCUUUCUCUCCUUAUAGUAGGUUAUCUUAAAUUGUUAAAUUUUUCUCUUUCUCUCCUUAUGGUAGGUUAUCUUAAAGAUUUUUUUAUAAAUAAUCUUUUGAAUAUUUU
Pelobates cultripes (western spadefoot toad) is the source of this 656-nucleotide non-coding RNA. The record is from the annotation of a GenBank genome assembly. Lineage: Eukaryota; Metazoa; Chordata; Amphibia; Anura; Pelobatidae.